UUCUGGUGUAGCAAUACAUCAGAGUUUGAGCGGCGCAAGGGUGCGUAACACGUGGGUAAUUUGCCGUGAAGUUGGGGAUAACUCGCUGAAAGGCGAGCUAAUACCGGAUGUGGUUUCGGAGUGGCAUCAUUCUGCAACUAAAGCUGGGGAUCGUAAGACCUGGCGCUUCAUGAUAAGCCCGCGGCCUAUCAGCUAGUUGGUGAGGUAACGGCUCACCAAGGCUAAGACGGGUAGCUGGUCUGAGAGGACGACCAGCCACACUGGAACUGAGACACGGUCCAGACACCUACGGGUGGCAGCAGUCGAGAAUUUUUCUCAAUGGGCGCUAGCCUGAAGGAGCGACGCCGCGUGGGGGAUGAAGGGUUUCGAUCCGUAAACCCCUGUCAUUCGUGAACAAUGGUUACUCAUGAAUAGUGGGUGACUUGAUAGUAACGGAAGAGGAAGGGACGGCUAACUCUGUGCCAGCAGCCGCGGUAAUACAGAGGUCCCGAGCGUUGUUCGGAUUCACUGGGCGUAAAGGGUGCGUAGGUGGCUGGGAAAGUUUGAUGUGAAAGCUCAGGGCUUAACCCUGAAAUGGCAUUGAAUACUACUUAGCUGGAGGUUUGGAGGGGGGACUGGAAUUCUCGGUGUAGCAGUGAAAUGCGUAGAUAUCGAGAGGAACACCAGUGGCGAAGGCGAGUCCCUGGACAACACCUGACACUGAGGCACGAAAGCUAGGGGAGCAAACAGGAUUAGAUACCCUGGUAGUCCUAGCCCUAAACGGUGCGUGUUUGCUGUAGGAGGAAUCGACCCCUUCUGUGGC
RNAcentral lists this ribosomal RNA (802 nucleotides) under uncultured Verrucomicrobiota bacterium. RNAcentral's name for it is "bacterial SSU rRNA". It matches the Rfam family "Bacterial small subunit ribosomal RNA", at positions 69 to 847 of the family's 1533-position model. Lineage: Bacteria; Pseudomonadati; Verrucomicrobiota. The record is from RNAcentral.